UACGUAGGGUGCAAGCGUUGUCCGGAAUUAUUGGGCGUAAAGAGCUCGUAGGUGGCCUGUCGCGUCGGCUGUGAAAACUCGGGGCUCAACUCCGAGCUUGCAGUCGAUACGGGCAGGCUAGAGUUCGGCAGGGGAGACUGGAAUUCCUGGUGUAGCGGUGAAAUGCGCAGAUAUCAGGAGGAACACCGAUGGCGAAGGCAGGUCUCUGGGCCGAUACUGACGCUGAGGAGCGAAAGCGUGGGGAGCGAACAGG
This 253-nucleotide ribosomal RNA is filed under the name uncultured bacterium. Its description in RNAcentral is "partial 16S ribosomal RNA". It matches the Rfam family "Bacterial small subunit ribosomal RNA", at positions 524 to 776 of the family's 1533-position model. The record is from RNAcentral.